CUUAAGUUCAGGAUGAGGGGUAGGUGGAAUUUUCAAGGGUAAGCGGGGAAAAUGCGUUAGAAAUUAGGAAGGAACCACCAGUGGCGAAGGGCGACCCUCCUGUACUGUAUAUUGCCACGGGGCGGCGAAAGCGUUGGGGGGCAAACCAGGAAUAGAUACCCUUGUAGUUCACGCCGUUAAACGGAGAUCAAUAAGCCGUAGGAGGCCUCGAGCCUUUAGUGGUGCAGCUAACGCAUUAAGUUGUCCGCCUGGGGAGUACGGUCGCAAGACUGAAACUCAAAGGAAUUGACGGGGGCCCGCACAAGCGGUGGAGCAUGUGGUUUAAUUCGAAGCAACGCGAAGAACCUUACCAGGUCUUGACAUGCCGUGGACCUUCCUAAGAUUAAUGGUUCCCUUUGGGGGGUAACGCACACAGGUGGCACAUGGGUGUUCACAUCUUGUGUUGAGAGAUGGGGGUAAAUGUCCCGCAGAGAGCACACCCCGUCAUUUGAGUUCACCUCAUUUAGUUGGGCACUCUAAGGAGACUGCCGGUGACAAACCGGAGGAAGGUGGGGAUGACGUCAAAUCAUCAUGCCCCUUAUGACCUGGGCUACACACGUGCUACAAUGGUCGAUACAAAGGGUUGCCAAGUCGCGAGAGGGAGCUAAUCUGACAAAGUCGUUCUCAGUUCGGAUUGCAGUCUGCAACUCGCCUGCAUGAAGUCGGAAUCGCUAGUAAUCGCGGAUCAGCAUGUCGCGGUGAAUACGUUCCCGGGCCUUGUACACACCGCCCGUCACACCACGAGAGUUGGUAACACCAGAAGUACGGUGAUGGUAACCUUCUGGAGCCAAGGCGCCCAAGGUGGAUCAAUGGUAAA
Molecule: ribosomal RNA, 856 nt
Filed under: Lysinibacillus fusiformis
Lineage: Bacteria; Bacillati; Bacillota; Bacilli; Caryophanales; Bacillaceae
Description: bacterial SSU rRNA
Rfam family: Bacterial small subunit ribosomal RNA
Source: RNAcentral